GGGUUCGAUCAUACCAGCACUAAUGCACCGDAUCCCAUCAGAACUCCGAAGUUAAGCGUCUUUGGGCGAGAGUAGUAAUAGGAUGGGUGCCUAUUGAGGAAGUCCUCGUGUUGCACCCC
Molecule: ribosomal RNA, 119 nt
Filed under: Nelumbo nucifera (sacred lotus)
Lineage: Eukaryota; Viridiplantae; Streptophyta; Magnoliopsida; Proteales; Nelumbonaceae
Source: RNAcentral